Molecule: transfer RNA, 69 nt
Filed under: Adicella ragma
Lineage: Eukaryota; Metazoa; Arthropoda; Insecta; Trichoptera; Leptoceridae
Description: tRNA-Gln
Source: RNAcentral
UACAUUAUAAUGUAUGAAGCAUAAAAAUUUUUGAAAUUUUCAGAUUUAGUUUAAUUCUAAAAAAUGUAA